GCAAUCGCGUCGUCUAAUGGUUAGGACGGAAGACUCUGAAUCUUCAAAUGACGGUUCGAUCCCGUCCGUGAGCU
RNAcentral lists this transfer RNA (74 nucleotides) under Capsaspora owczarzaki ATCC 30864. RNAcentral's name for it is "tRNA-Gln". It matches the Rfam family "tRNA". Rfam says of the family: Transfer RNA (tRNA) molecules are approximately 80 nucleotides in length. Their secondary structure includes four short double-helical elements and three loops (D, anti-codon, and T loops). Lineage: Eukaryota; Filasterea; Ministeriida; Capsasporidae. The record is from RNAcentral.